CAGGAGCGGGGACCAGCGGGAGUAGGAGUACGGUGGGGGCUAGGGAGGUGAGGAAGUAGUGGGCGGAGAGCGCGCGGAGGUGGUCCAGAAAGUGGGGGGGGAAAGCCCGGGGCUCAACCUCGGAACUGCCUUCAGAGCUAUUGGUCUGGAGUGCGAGAGAGGUGAGUGGAAUUCCGAGUGUAGAGGUGAAAUUCGUAGAUAUUCGGAGGAGCACCAGUGGCGAAGGCGGCUCACUGGCUCGAUACUGACGCUGAGGUGCGAAAGCGUGGGGAGCAAACAGGAUUAGAUACCCCAGGAGUC
RNAcentral lists this ribosomal RNA (300 nucleotides) under uncultured Bacillus sp. Its description in RNAcentral is "bacterial SSU rRNA". The stretch from base 52 to 300 matches the Rfam family "Bacterial small subunit ribosomal RNA", at positions 547 to 795 of the family's 1533-position model. The record is from RNAcentral. Lineage: Bacteria; Bacillati; Bacillota; Bacilli; Caryophanales; Bacillaceae.